This 450-nucleotide ribosomal RNA is filed under the name uncultured bacterium. Its description in RNAcentral is "partial 16S ribosomal RNA". It matches the Rfam family "Bacterial small subunit ribosomal RNA", at positions 354 to 796 of the family's 1533-position model. The record is from RNAcentral.
GUGGGGAAUAUUGGACAAUGGGCGCAAGCCUGAUCCAGCCAUACCGCGUGGGUGAAGAAGGCCUUCGGGUUGUAAAGCCCUUUUGUUGGGAAAGAAAUCCUGUCGGUUAAUACCUGGCGGGGAUGACGGUACCCAAAGAAUAAGCACCGGCUAACUUCGUGCCAGCAGCCGCGGUAAUACGAAGGGUGCAAGCGUUACUCGGAAUUACUGGGCGUAAAGCGUGCGUAGGUGGUGGUUUAAGUCCGUUGUGAAAGCCCUGGGCUCAACCUGGGAAGUGCAGUGGAUACUGGAUCACUAGAGUGUGGUAGAGGGAUGCGGAAUUUCUGGUGUAGCAGUGAAAUGCGUAGAGAUCAGAAGGAACAUCCGUGGCGAAGGCGGCAUCCUGGGCCAACACUGACACUGAGGCACGAAAGCGUGGGGAGCAAACAGGAUUAGAAACCCUAGUAGUCC